Capsicum annuum is the source of this 5758-nucleotide long non-coding RNA. RefSeq lists it as uncharacterized. The record is from RefSeq and is a predicted model, not a curated record. Lineage: Eukaryota; Viridiplantae; Streptophyta; Magnoliopsida; Solanales; Solanaceae. The transcript is spliced from 3 exons.
GAUAAAUUACCUUCUACUUCUAUCUGCUCUAUGGUUUUUGUUAAGUCUCCUCCAUCCAAGUCUGCAUUAUCCUCAUUACUGAACUCCUCCUGAUUUUCCACCUGAAUUGCUAAAGGAAUAUGCAGUUUCUCAACAGUUUAUAAUCAGACUUUGACUAUUCAGAAGUUCUACGAAAGGGCAAGUUGAUAAACUAACGCUUGGGCUUCGAUUUGAGGCAAGUUAAAAUUUUCUUAGGCUCUUUUUCAAAGUUGUAUGUGUUAGUUAUGUGUAAUAAGAGUAAUGGGGAAUGGGGGCCUCGUAUAGGUUAAGUGACUAAAAUUUAUGUGGGUACCGAUGUUAAUUGAGGGGUUAAAGUAAGUCAAUUGUACGUUUGAAUUAUUUUUCCUAUUUUCUAGCCCGAUGGGCUGAUUUGCUAUGAUAAAUAGAUUAUUGAAAAUGCUAGCUAACGUGAAAUGCUUUGCUUAACCUUAUUGUUGAUUUGGGAUCAGAGUUACAUGCCUGCAGGUCAUGCAUUGCAUUACAUAAGGGGUCGGAGUGCACACCUACACAAUUUAUUUAUUGGAAUCGAAGUGCACUCCUACACAAUAUAAGGACCUUGUGAGUCCCCCAUGGUUCUUGACCUUUAAGCCAUUGCUCGGUAGGUGUAUGACGUUCCAUGGUUUUAUGGGACUUACGAUGGUUAAACUUUGAAAAUAUGCAUGUACUUAAGGUUAUUUUAUUGGACCUGAUGUGUUUUUGGAGUGAUUUUGUAGAAAACUAGGUGUUGAAAGCUAACUGAAAGAAAAUGAAAUGAAAAGACGAAAAAUGACUACUUACUAAGAGACCUACGACCCAUAGGUACCAGCUACGGGGCGUAGGUGGGUUCAUAGGUGUCAGAAACUGAAAUUCCAGAGGCCAAAAUUUGAGGACUACCUACGGCCCCCUGCCUAUGGGCCGUAGGUUCCACCUACAACCCGUAGGUGGGUUCGUAAGUGGCCACCAACAUAAUUUUACCAGAUCAUUUUGAUGUUAUUUCUUAGGGUUUCCAAGUAACCUAAACCUACUCCUAUGAUAUUUUUAGUCAUUGUUAUGUACGUUUAGUUAAAUUUUCCUCAUUUUUUUUUGGAUUUGAAUUCUAGGAUUUUCAUGUAAUCUAUAUAUACCUUUUUUUAUGUUUUUAGUUAGAUAGUCUAGGGAUAGGCCCUUUGGGGCUAAGUUUACAUUAUUUACAAAUAUCUUUUGAUUCUAAGAUUGGCUUGUGAUCUUGGGAUCUUAGUGUUUUGGGUUUGUUCUUCAAUUUGAGACUUUGGAUUUUCUUAUUGUGAUAUUAAUUCUAUAAUUUUGUCCAUGAAUUUCAUGAAUUAUCUUGCAACUAUGAGUGGCUAAUUCCCUUAUCUAGGGUUGUGGGAACCCUAGAGGAUUAAUGAAGUAGAGGAAAUGCCAAGUCAUUCUAUAUAAAUAUUCUUGCAUGUAUUGUAGUUUUCUUUGAUUUGAUUUUCUUUUUAAUGGGUGCACACAUUAUGAUCCCGCCUAUAUUCACUACGAGACUGAUCGGGAGGUAGAAAUUGGGAAAAGAAGAUCACAAUAGUGUUUGGAGUUAACUGCCAAAAUAAGCUUACCUGCAUUAUCAACUUAAGACGAUUAUAUUUCAUCUAAUAACUUGAGACUCAAAAGUUAAUAGUUAAAUUGGGAUCCAGGGUAAGGGUAAGUAAAGUGACACCCUCAGACUCAAAAGGUAAAGGCUAAAAUCUGUCAAUGAGUCCACAAGACAGUUAAUGGUACAUAACUUAUUAGAUUUUGCAGGCAAGGUAUUGAAAUAGUUUGAUAGUUCAUAAUAAAUCUACGGAGUUAGAAUCUAGGGGAAACACAAGCCUAGUGUUCUUAGAUUUAUUACAACCUCAAGUGUCCAGUUCUUGUUAUUUACUAUUGUAGUAAAUCCCUCCUUUUUACUUUUUCGGACUACCUAGUGAUUUCAACAAGUUUGAGAAGAAUUUUUGAUAUAUUCCAUGUGGAAUCGAGCCCAACCUAGUUGGGUUACUAUAUUUUGACAACAAUUGCUUUAUCCUUCAAUUGAAGGUGUAGUUUUGGUGACAUCAAAAUUUUAGCAUCGUCGUCGAGGAAUACGAUUGUAGAUUGACUGAUUAGAAUUGUUGAAGUUGUCAGAUCUUUUCUUUCCUAUUUUUCUUGGGGUAUAUUCUACUGUAUGCCUACUCCUCUUGAGAUGAAAACUUGGCCAUAGGAAGUAUAGAACGAUGAAGACUUAUUUAUUAUUGAUCCUUAUCCUUUUGAUAUGGUGCAUUAUUGUAGGAGUGCGGCAAAUAUAGCAUGGGAACAAAAGGAGAGCCUGAUGGAAACAUUGAUAUACCUUGCAAACAAAAAUCAAGAGCUUAUUCAAAAGUUUGAUAGUUUUGGCUUGGAUAUUUACCACUUACAAGUAGAGUUGAAUGUGAAAGUUGUUGCAUGUAACACCUAACAACUUAGUUAUGGGUAGUGUGAGUUUGAAAAAAUUCUGAAAAGCCACCUUGAGGAACUGAAAUUGAAGGAGUCAACAAUUGCUCAUACUCUUAUGGAUAAUGUCAUUAUUAAGGAGAGCAUGCUAGAUUUAUGUGGGGAUGUAAAUAAGAUCGGAACUCUUGAUUUGGAGUGUAUUGGACCUUAUCCGAAGCAUUUUUUCAUAUUAUGUUUUGAUAGUAAGAUAUUGAUCGAGCCAUCUGAACCCAAAGAAAAGUGCAAGAAAGAGUGAACAUAUAUCUAUAUUCUUGAAUUUGUUGAGCCAUAAAAAAAGAAUUGCUUUCCUCGCGUAAGGGCAAAGAAGUACAACAUGCCUCAUCUAUUGCUUAAGUCCUUUAUUUUUAUACCACUGCCCCUUGAGCAUAAUAGGAAAUCAGAAAAACAAUUGGGGGUAAAAUUUAUAAGUUCAAAUAGAGAGAUAAAAUUAGAGGCUUAAUGAAGUCUGAGUAAUCAAGGUACCCAUGGGCUUAUUGGUGAAGUCUGAGUAACCAACAUAGCCCCGUCAUGCCGCGAAGCCAAAAAAAGCACUGCUUAGGAGGCAACCCAGGGUAUUUUGUUGUUUGUAUACAUAUUAUUAUGAUUGAUAUCAAAUCUAAGUACCUAUGGUGCCACAGGUAUAUUUCUAACUCUCUUGUUUUGUAGCGACCCAAUGCAUUACAUGUCUUAAGUUGAAGGUAGGGUUGGUUGUGGGUCUUGACGUUCUUUUGGGGGUUUUAUUGUCGUGCCUCUUUUACCUGGUGUUCUGUUUGUUAAAAUGUAAGGGGGUUUCACCACACUAUGAGGGACCAGGUCUCUUAGAGUCAAACACAGGAAAUAAAACAGUAAAGCACUAAGAAACUAAAACUUUGCAGGAAGAUAAAGAACAAACUGGUUUAACGUUGAAACCUCCUUGCUCAAGGGAGGAAAAAACCACUGCAUGCCCUCAAAAGCACUCAACAAUUCACUAAAAUCAAACUCUUGAUUACAAACUCAAUGGGAACUUAAAUCUAAGCUCCAGCAGUUUGUAACAACUCUAUUACAAACAGACUCUAACAACUCUGCCAAGAACUCACUUCGAUAGUGAUUAACUGUAACUAAUAUCAAGCUCAAGUAACUCUACCUAAUCACUCUCAAGAACACAAGAAAAGAAUUACUCUUAUAACAUAAGUAAUUCAAUUAUAGACAAAUACUUGACUCAAGAACAUACACACUCUCAGCACACAAAGAUUGGGACUUAAACAAUAUUUGAGUUUUUGCUGAUUUCUCUUUUUGAACAAUCUGAUUAGAAAAACUAGUGAAUUGAGAAGCAUUAUUUCUUUUAUAGUGGAAUAAUGAUUAGGGAAGAAAUCUGAUUGGGCCAAGUGCCCUGAAUGGUACACAUCUCACCUACACAGUUUUUUACACUAAAAGACAAAAUUAUGAAGGCCAUGGGCAGUUGUAUGUUUCCGUGAAGAACCAGGGACCUGGACUUUGUUGCCAGCUGGUCAUCAUCAAAAGAAGAUUUUAGAAAUUUUCCCCUUAUUGAUGAUGACAAACCAUAGAACUUGGAGCAUCAAAUUCAUUCACCUUAUUUAGUCAGAGCCACUACUGCCAGUGAAUGUUCCCUCUAUCACUAUGCACCUUGCUUUCCCUUGUAAAUAUAUCAUACAACUUAGGGACCUGGUCCCUUGUUGUCAACUGACAUCAAAAUUCAUUCAGUAUGUUUCAAUUUUCUCCCUGUCAAUAUACCUACACUUAUCAUUGUUCACUCAGUUUAUUAUUCCACCUAUCACAUGCACCAUCAACAUUCAACAUUCUUCCCAUUAUCAAUAAUCAUACUUCACCAGCAUUUAACACAUAUGCACAUGGUACCUAGUCCCUAACAUAUCAUGUAACCACAUAUGCACCUGGUACCUAGUCCCUAACACAUCAUGUAACCACAUAGGAACCUGGUACCUAGUCCUAACACAUCAUGUAACACACACCUCACCUAGUUCCUACCACAUGAGUUUGGUAUUCAUCUUUAUGGCAUUAUUAAAAAAUGAUAAAAAUAAUCUAAGAGCAAAAUAAGCACAAGUCAGUUAACUCAUGGCCACUAGGUCAACACAAACAUGAAGAACAACUUUAAAGUAAAGAAGAGAUAGAUGCAACACAUAAACAAAGGAUUCAUUCAUUUUCUAAAAGAGAUCAGUACCAUUACAACAUAUCAAAAUAAACAUAAAAAUUCUAAUUCAUCAAAGGCCACUUUAGAAAUAAGAACUGGAAAUGACACAAUGAUGACAAAGGGACAAAGUUUAUAGGACUUAGGUAGAGGGGGGAUUUGGGGAGAAGGAUUAGAGAAACAACUCCAUUCUAGAACUCUCUACAGCGUGAGCAUUCAACAAUUGAUUAGUGAGGUCUUUAAAUUCUGCAUUUAGACCUUAAACCUGCUUAGUGAGUUCUGGAAUCUUGGUUUGGAGCUAUACAUUUUCUACUUCAAGUGCCUCAGUGGCACCAGGUCCCUCAGAGUAUAACUUCUGAUUCUACAUCUUCAAGUGCACUAUAUUAGCAUCCUUAGCGGCCAACUUAAUCCUCUUCUCCUUCAUUUUCUUGCUUAAAUUCUCCUGAGCAGCCAAUAGCUCUGACACUUAGGAAACAAUUCCCUCUUUUCCAUUUAUGCAUUUAUUUUCCACCAAUGUUGUCAAACUAAAAUUCUGUUUGACUGUUCCAAGAGUCCCUUUAGUCCCAAUCAUUUCAAAGUGAUCAAAUACCUUAUUCAAUAAGUACCCAUAAGGUAUCCCAUGCCUUUCUUUCUUCUCAUGCACCACCUUAUUUAUGUUCUCUAUCAUAAGAGCAGGCAGACUUAUUAGCUCAAAUUUGCUCAGACUCUAUAUAAAAAAUGAUCAAUAGUAGAAACAAUGGUCCUUUUCUCUAACCUGGGAAAAAGGGCCAUGUUUAAAAAUUCAAACACUAAUUGGAACUCAUUUGUAUGAAAUUUCUUUCUCAUAUCACCUAUUGAUGUUCCCUCCUACUUUAGAAGCAUCAAUCAUGAACUCAAUUAAAACUUGUUGCUUUACAACAAUCCUCACCCCUAUAACAAGCACAUCCAGGAUUUUCCCUAGUGAUUCCUCAUCCAGUUUUAUCUAUUUUCCUUGGACUUGUGCAGUAAGGUUUAGCCAAUCAUCUGAGAAAUACAUAGUGUAGUAGAAUUCUCUUACUUCUUCAAACAACAUAGGAGCUGGUUUCUGUAGGAGGUGUAACCAUCCCUGGUGUUUGACAUUUUUCACCAGAUCUACCAUGAUAGGUUUCUCAUAAAUCAUGGGAUCAAACA